Molecule: ribosomal RNA, 642 nt
Filed under: Brevundimonas sp. NA61
Lineage: Bacteria; Pseudomonadati; Pseudomonadota; Alphaproteobacteria; Caulobacterales; Caulobacteraceae
Description: partial 16S ribosomal RNA
Source: RNAcentral
AUUGCUUAAUGCGUUACUGCGUCACCGAAAUGCAUGCAUCCCGACAACUAGCAAUCAUCGUUUACGGCGUGGACUACCAGGGUAUCUAAUCCUGUUUGCUCCCCACGCUUUCGAGCCUCAGCGUCAGUAAUGAGCCAGUGUGUCGCCUUCGCCACUGGUGUUCUUCCGAAUAUCUACGAAUUUCACCUCUACACUCGGAGUUCCACACACCUCUCUCAUACUCAAGACACCCAGUAUCAAAGGCAAUUCCGAGGUUGAGCCCCGGGAUUUCACCCCUGACUUAAAUGUCCGCCUACGCUCCCUUUACGCCCAGUAAUUCCGAGCAACGCUAGCCCCCUUCGUAUUACCGCGGCUGCUGGCACGAAGUUAGCCGGGGCUUCUUCUCCGGGUACCGUCAUUAUCGUCCCCGGUGAAAGAAUUUUACAAUCCUAAGACCUUCAUCAUUCACGCGGCAUGGCUGCGUCAGGCUUUCGCCCAUUGCGCAAGAUUCCCCACUGCUGCCUCCCGUAGAGUUUGGGCCGUGUCUCAGUCCCAAUGUGGCUGAUCAUCCUCUCAGACCAGCUACUGAUCGUCGCCUUGGUGAGCCUUUACCUCACCAACUAGCUAAUCAGACGCGGGCCGCUCCAAUGGCGAUAAAUCUUU